This 454-nucleotide ribosomal RNA is filed under the name Enterobacter cloacae. Its description in RNAcentral is "bacterial SSU rRNA". It matches the Rfam family "Bacterial small subunit ribosomal RNA", at positions 1 to 451 of the family's 1533-position model. RNAcentral also lists the same sequence under 9 other names. Lineage: Bacteria; Pseudomonadati; Pseudomonadota; Gammaproteobacteria; Enterobacterales; Enterobacteriaceae. The record is from RNAcentral.
AAAUUGAAGAGUUUGAUCAUGGCUCAGAUUGAACGCUGGCGGCAGGCCUAACACAUGCAAGUCGAGCGGCAGCGGAAAGUAGCUUGCUACUUUGCCGGCGAGCGGCGGACGGGUGAGUAAUGUCUGGGAAACUGCCUGAUGGAGGGGGAUAACUACUGGAAACGGUAGCUAAUACCGCAUAACGUCGCAAGACCAAAGAGGGGGACCUUCGGGCCUCUUGCCAUCAGAUGUGCCCAGAUGGGAUUAGCUAGUAGGUGGGGUAACGGCUCACCUAGGCGACGAUCCCUAGCUGGUCUGAGAGGAUGACCAGCCACACUGGAACUGAGACACGGUCCAGACUCCUACGGGAGGCAGCAGUGGGGAAUAUUGCACAAUGGGCGCAAGCCUGAUGCAGCCAUGCCGCGUGUAUGAAGAAGGCCUUCGGGUUGUAAAGUACUUUCAGCGGGGAGGAAGG